Molecule: regulatory RNA element, 76 nt
Organism: Faecalibacterium prausnitzii
Lineage: Bacteria; Bacillati; Bacillota; Clostridia; Eubacteriales; Oscillospiraceae
Rfam family: c-di-GMP-I riboswitch aptamer
About the family: GEMM was predicted in a large-scale screen for bacterial structured RNA regulatory elements.
Source: Rfam
AGAAAAAAACGGCAAACCAGUCGAAAGGCUGCGACGCAAAGCUACAGGGCCUGUAAUAUGGCAGCCAGCCGCACUU